AUUGAACGCUGGCGGCAGGCCUAACACAUGCAAGUCGAACGGUAGCACAGAGAGCUUGCUCUCGGGUGACGAGUGGCGGACGGGUGAGUAAUGUCUGGGAAACUGCCCGAUGGAGGGGGAUAACUACUGGAAACGGUAGCUAAUACCGCAUAAUGUCGCAAGACCAAAGAGGGGGACCUUCGGGCCUCUUGCCAUCGGAUGUGCCCAGAUGGGAUUAGCUUGUUGGUGAGGUAAUGGCUCACCAAGGCGACGAUCCCUAGCUGGUCUGAGAGGAUGACCAGCCACACUGGAACUGAGACACGGUCCAGACUCCUACGGGAGGCAGCAGUGGGGAAUAUUGCACAAUGGGCGCAAGCCUGAUGCAGCCAUGCCGCGUGUGUGAAGUAGGCCUUCGGGUUGUAAAGCACUUUCAGCGGGGAGGAAGGCGAUACGGUUAAUAACCGUGUUGAUUGACGUUACCCGCAGAAGAAGCACCGGCUAACUCCGUG
This 488-nucleotide ribosomal RNA is filed under the name uncultured bacterium. RNAcentral describes it as "partial 16S ribosomal RNA". It matches the Rfam family "Bacterial small subunit ribosomal RNA", at positions 30 to 507 of the family's 1533-position model. The record is from RNAcentral.